UACGUAGGGGGCAAGCGUUGUCCGGAAUCAUUGGGCGUAAAGAGCGUGUAGGCGGCUCGGUAAGUCCGCUGUGAAAGUCCAGGGCUCAACCCUGGAAUGCCGGUGGAAACUGUCGAGCUAGAGUCCGGAAGAGGCGAGUGGAAUUCCUGGUGUAGCGGUGAAAUGCGCAGAUAUCAGGAGGAACACCAAUGGCGAAGGCAGCUCGCUGGGCCGACACUGACACUGAGAGACGAAAGCUAGGGGAGCAAAUGGG
Molecule: ribosomal RNA, 253 nt
Filed under: uncultured bacterium
Lineage: Bacteria
Description: partial 16S ribosomal RNA
Rfam family: Bacterial small subunit ribosomal RNA
Source: RNAcentral